This 214-nucleotide ribosomal RNA is filed under the name uncultured bacterium. Its description in RNAcentral is "partial 16S ribosomal RNA". It matches the Rfam family "Bacterial small subunit ribosomal RNA", at positions 116 to 334 of the family's 1533-position model. The record is from RNAcentral.
UAUCGGAACGUGCCCUGGAGUGGGGGAUAACUAGUCGAAAGACUAGCUAAUACCGCAUACGAUCUACGGAUGAAAUGGGGGAUCGCAAGACCUCAUGCUCGUGGAGCGGCCGAUAUCUGAUUAGCUAGUUGGUGGGGUAAAGGCCUACCAAGGCAUCGAUCAGUAGCUGGUCUGAGAGGACGACCAGCCACACUGGGACUGAGACACGGCCCGG